RNAcentral lists this ribosomal RNA (490 nucleotides) under uncultured bacterium. RNAcentral's name for it is "partial 16S ribosomal RNA". It matches the Rfam family "Bacterial small subunit ribosomal RNA", at positions 28 to 507 of the family's 1533-position model. The record is from RNAcentral.
GAUGAACGCUAGCUACAGGCUUAACACAUGCAAGUCGCGGGGCAGCAUGGGGGUUGCUUGCAAUCCCCGAUGGCGACCGGCGCACGGGUGAGUAACGCGUAUCCAACCUGCCCUUCACCACGGGAUAACCCGUCGAAAGUCGGACUAAUACCGUAUGUUGUCCAUUGACGGCAUCCGAUUUGGACGAAAGGUUUGGCGGUGAAGGAUGGGGAUGCGUCCGAUUAGCUGGACGGCGGGGUGACGGCCCACCGUGGCGACGAUCGGUAGGGGUUCUGAGAGGAAGGUCCCCCACACUGGAACUGAGACACGGUCCAGACUCCUACGGGAGGCAGCAGUGAGGAAUAUUGAUCAAUGGGCGUAAGCCUGAACCAGCCAAGUAGCGUGCAGGAUGACGGCCCUAUGGGUUGUAAACUGCUUUUAUGCGGGGAUAAAGUGGCCCACGUGUGGGUUUUUGCAGGUACCGCAUGAAUAAGGACCGGCUAAUUCCGUG